This 414-nucleotide ribosomal RNA is filed under the name uncultured bacterium. Its description in RNAcentral is "bacterial SSU rRNA". It matches the Rfam family "Bacterial small subunit ribosomal RNA", at positions 355 to 786 of the family's 1533-position model. The record is from RNAcentral.
UGGGGAAUAUUGCACAAUGGGGGAAACCCUGAUGCAGCGACGCCGCGUGAAGGAAGAAGUAUCUCGGUAUGUAAACUUCUAUCAGCAGGGAAGAUAGUGACGGUACCUGACUAAGAAGCCCCGGCUAACUACGUGCCAGCAGCCGCGGUAAUACGUAGGGGGCAAGCGUUAUCCGGAUUUACUGGGUGUAAAGGGAGCGUAGACGGUGUGGCAAGUCUGAUGUGAAAGGCAUGGGCUCAACCUGUGGACUGCAUUGGAAACUGUCAUACUUGAGUGCCGGAGGGGUAAGCGGAAUUCCUAGUGUAGCGGUGAAAUGCGUAGAUAUUAGGAGGAACACCAGUGGCGAAGGCGGCUUACUGGACGGUAACUGACGUUGAGGCUCGAAAGCGUGGGGAGCAAACAGGAUUAGAUACC